Non-coding RNA from Nelumbo nucifera (sacred lotus), 632 nucleotides. Lineage: Eukaryota; Viridiplantae; Streptophyta; Magnoliopsida; Proteales; Nelumbonaceae. The record is from RefSeq and is a predicted model, not a curated record.
CCUCCUCAUUUUCAAUCCAAUCGAAGAGAUUGGGAGAAUUCCAUCGCCAUCUUCCAUUAGGAGAGCCGAACAGAGAGGAGAGAACUCCAUCGCCGAACAGAGGGCCAAACCAACCUCCGGCGAGAUCUGCUCCUACUCAUUUUUGGGAUCGAUCUACUUCACUGCUACCAUUAUGGGUUUUUCACAUCAAGCAAUCGGAAUUCAGGAUUUAACAAGUACUUACGAUUCAAUCCACAGGAGAAGCAACAGAAAAAAGGAAAAUUCUCAAAUAAAGCGGACAGAAGCUUGCUUCAAGUUGYGCCCAWGCAAGGKCCAARCACCUUAGCAUCUAUACAGGUUAUUGGAGGCUUGGUUAUAGUUAUAAUGCUUCCUCUUGUGUCACUGACUACACAAUCCGCUUCCUAUGUGUYCACUCAUUUUGAGAUAUCUGAGUCAACUGGGAUAACAAGCAGUGUAUAUGCAGUCAUUCUAUCUGUUCUUGUUAGUCAACUUGAGCAUAUGAGGUAACUUUGCCAUAGUGUCCUCUGCAGACCUUCUAUAUAGAAAUUGAGUAGAAAUCUUGUGGGUGAUAGAUUCAACUGAGUGAUAUUUUCCUGCCAACAUGUGAGCAUUUUGCUUCUCCUGCAUGUGGU